CUGACUCAGGAUGAACGCUGGCGGCGUGCCUAACACAUGCAAGUCGAACGGGGUUAUGACGCUGAGGAGACUUCGGUCAAAUCUUGUUGUAACUUAGUGGCGGACGGGUGAGUAACGCGUGGAUAACCUACCACACACAGGGGGAUAACAGUUAGAAAUGACUGCUAAUACCGCAUAAGCGCCCGAGGGGGCAUCCUCUCGAGUGAAAAGCGAAUACGGUGUAUGAUGGGUCCGCGUCCGAUUAGCCAGUUGGCGGGGUAAGAGCCCACCAAAGCGACGAUCGGUAGCCGGCCUGAGAGGGUGAACGGCCACAUUGGGACUGAGAGACGGCCCAAACUCCUACGGGAGGCAGCAGUGGGGGAUAUUGCACAAUGGGGGGAACCCUGAUGCAAGCGACGCCGCGUGAGUGAAGAAGUUAUUCGUAAUGUAAAGCUCUAUCAGCAGGGAAGAAGUAGACGGUACCUGACUAAGAAGCACCGGCUAAAUACGUGCCAGCAGCCGC
Molecule: ribosomal RNA, 502 nt
Filed under: uncultured bacterium
Lineage: Bacteria
Description: bacterial SSU rRNA
Rfam family: Bacterial small subunit ribosomal RNA
Source: RNAcentral